This 253-nucleotide ribosomal RNA is filed under the name uncultured bacterium. RNAcentral's name for it is "partial 16S ribosomal RNA". It matches the Rfam family "Bacterial small subunit ribosomal RNA", at positions 524 to 776 of the family's 1533-position model. The record is from RNAcentral.
UACGGAGGGUGCAAGCGUUGUUCGGAAUCAUUGGGCGUAAAGCGCGUGUAGGCGGCUUGGCAAGUCGGUUGUGAAAUCCCGGGGCCCAACCCCGGAACUGCAUUCGAAACUGCCUCGCUAGAGUCCCGGAGAGGAAGGCGGAAUUCCCGGUGUAGAGGUGAAAUUCGUAGAUAUCGGGAGGAACACCAGCGGCGAUGGCGGCCUUCUGGACGGUGACUGACGCUGAGACGCGAAAGCGUGGGGAGCAAACAGG